UACGAAGGGGGCUAGCGUUGCUCGGAAUUACUGGGCGUAAAGGGCGCGUAGGCGGACAGUUUAGUCAGAGGUGAAAGCCCACGGCUCAACCGUGGAGGGUCAUUGGAAACUGGGGGACUUGAGUGCAGGAGAGAAGAGUGGAAUUCCACGUGUAGCGGUGAAAUGCGUAGAGAUGUGGAGGAACACCAAUGGCGAAGGCAGCCUUCUGGGCCAACACUGACGCUCAUGCACGAAAGCGUGGGGAGCAAACAGG
This 253-nucleotide ribosomal RNA is filed under the name uncultured bacterium. Its description in RNAcentral is "partial 16S ribosomal RNA". It matches the Rfam family "Bacterial small subunit ribosomal RNA", at positions 524 to 776 of the family's 1533-position model. The record is from RNAcentral.